Molecule: ribosomal RNA, 253 nt
Filed under: uncultured bacterium
Lineage: Bacteria
Description: partial 16S ribosomal RNA
Rfam family: Bacterial small subunit ribosomal RNA
Source: RNAcentral
GACAGAGGGUGCAAACGUUGUUCGGAAUUACUGGGCCUAAAGCGCACGUAGGUGGUCCGCUAAGUCGCGUGUGAAAUCCCCCGGCUCAACCGGGGAAUUGCGCCUGAUACUGGCGGGCUAGAGGUCGAUAGGGGUGAGCGGAACUCCAGGUGGAGCGGUGAAAUGCGUAGAUAUCUGGAGGAACACCGGUGGCGAAAGCGGCUCACUGGAUCGAAACUGACGCUGAGGUGCGAAAGCUAGGGUAGCAAACGGG